RNAcentral lists this ribosomal RNA (254 nucleotides) under uncultured bacterium. Its description in RNAcentral is "partial 16S ribosomal RNA". It matches the Rfam family "Bacterial small subunit ribosomal RNA", at positions 524 to 776 of the family's 1533-position model. The record is from RNAcentral.
UACAGAGGUGGCAAGCGUUGUUCGGAAUUACUGGGCGUAAAGGGCGCGUAGGCGGUCUUCUAAGUCUUGUGUGAAAUCCCUCGGCUUAACUGAGGAACUGCACGGGAUACUGGAAGACUUGAGUUCGGGAGAGGGAAGCGGAAUUCCGGGUGUAGCGGUGAAAUGCGUAGAUAUCCGGAGGAACACCGGUGGCGAAGGCGGCUUCCUGGACCGAUUACUGACGCUGAGGCGCGAAAGCGUGGGGAGCAAACAGG